This 464-nucleotide long non-coding RNA is filed under the name Cyclopterus lumpus (lumpfish). RNAcentral's name for it is "lncRNA (ENSCLMG00005020760.1)". Lineage: Eukaryota; Metazoa; Chordata; Actinopteri; Perciformes; Cyclopteridae. The record is from RNAcentral.
GUUUGAGAAGGAAAAGGGCAAGUCCAUCUACAACAGCAUGUUGGUGCCCCCCGAUGUGCAGCACGCCAUGGGAGUGGCCAAGAGUCAGAGCAGCGUGAGCGUCUCCUCCAGUGUUUCCUUCACACGCUUCCUUUUCUGUUUACUGCAUUCUGCUUCUCUACUCAACCUUUACAGGUCGCCUACAAGAAGGAAGCUAAAGCCAACCUCCACUAUACGAGCGUGGCGGACCGGCCCGACAUUAAGAAAGCGACGCAGGCUGCCAAGCUCAUCAGUGAGGUUGGCUACCGGGAGAAGGCCCGAGCGGACGCGAGCCGCGGAGGUUCUCUGGUCCACCGCCCGGACAUCACUCUGGCCACCGAGGUGUCCAAGCUGAACAGCCAGCUGAAGUACAAGGAGAAGUUUCAGAAGGAGAUGAAAGGAAAGAAACCAGAGUAUGACCUGAAGAACAGUAAGAUCUACCAGAC